GACGAACGCUGGCGGCGUGCUUAACACAUGCAAGUCGAACGGAAAGGCCCAGCUUGCUGGGUGCUCGAGUGGCGAACGGGUGAGUAACACGUGGGUGAUCUGCCCCUAACUUCGGGAUAAGCUUGGGAAACUGGGUCUAAUACCUGAUAGGGCAUUCGUUUAGUGUCGGUUGUGGAAAGUUUUUUCGGUUAGGGAUGAGCCCGCGGCCUAUGAGCUUGUUGGUGGGUUAAUGGCCUAUCAAGGCGUCGACGGGUAGCCGGCCUGAGAGGGUGGACGGCCACAAUGGGACUGAGAGACGGCCCAGACGCCUACGGGAGGCAGCAGUGGGGAGUAUUGCACAAUGGGAGCAAGCCUGAUGCAGCGACGCCGCGUGGGGGAUGACGGCCUGCGGGUUGUAAACCUCUGUCGACAGGGACGAAGCUUUGGUGACGGUACCUGUAGAAGAAGCACAGGCUAACUACGUG
This 464-nucleotide ribosomal RNA is filed under the name uncultured bacterium. RNAcentral's name for it is "partial 16S ribosomal RNA". It matches the Rfam family "Bacterial small subunit ribosomal RNA", at positions 28 to 507 of the family's 1533-position model. The record is from RNAcentral.